GCGCCUCUGUUCUUUACAACGCCGUGCUCCGCUGAUGUUUCCAUCGCUCUCAGCUCGUGUGCCUUUCCCUGUCCUUGGGGCUCUCCCCUCCACUCCUCCUCAGCUCUGUGCUUUAGGGGAGACAGGUCUCGACUCCCGAAGGAUUUUGGGGGGAAUUUGAGACAGGCAGAACCUGGCUGGGCCCUGCAGUGCUCCAGCUGCAUUUCAGGGCGCCAGGGUGCUGCGCUGUCCCACGGUUUGGGGCCAGGCUGGGAGAGCAAUGCUGGACCACCCUCCCCUGGCGAGGGGAUCAGAGGAGCCGAGGGGAUCCUUGGACAAUGUCACAGGAGGGCUCUUGGGGUUAGGAGGGGGUCCGGGGUAAAACCAGGAGUGUUUGCCCCCUGCCCAGAUGUGUUUGCCCCCUGCCCAGAUGUGUUUGCCCCCUGCCCAGGCGUGUUUGCCCCCUAUCCAGGUGUGUUUGCCGCUGCUCAGGUGUUUUUGCCCUCUAACCAGGUGUCUUUGCCCCCAGCCCGGGUGUGUUUGCCCCUCUGGGGUUUUCCCCGGGUGCGCUCUCCCCGCUCCAUCCGUGCGGCUCCCGCAGGCACAGCGCUCCGGGCAGCGCCGCUGGAACUCCGGGAAUUGUCCCGUCCCGCAGGCUCCCGGCCGCAUCCCGGCUGCUUCAGCAUCCCCCGGAUGGGGAUGGAGGGGUCGGAGGAUGAGGCAUUGGCCGGGCGGGCUGUGGGGAGGGGCUGCGGGCUUGCGGAGCUCGCCCUGCUCACCCCUCUCCCCACUCCCAGAAAAGCCCUGGGGACCCCCCCACACUUUGUAAAUGCCGGGAACGAAGCCGGGGAGAGCCCUGUUUCCACGCAGGCUCUUCAAAUUAGAAUUUACCGCCGCAUAAAAAUGGGGGAAAAGCCGCUUCUUUCCCGGAUUCCCUUUUUCCGAAGCAUCACCCCCAAAAUCCAGGGCAAGGCGAAGUCCCCCCGGUCCUGCCCUUUCCCGGCCGCUUGUCCCCAGCGCUCCCUUAGCCGGGCCGGGCUAUAA
This 1023-nucleotide long non-coding RNA is filed under the name Serinus canaria (Common canary). Its description in RNAcentral is "lncRNA (ENSSCAG00000014721.1)". The record is from RNAcentral. Lineage: Eukaryota; Metazoa; Chordata; Aves; Passeriformes; Fringillidae.